Molecule: transfer RNA, 72 nt
Filed under: Phrynosoma platyrhinos (Desert horned lizard)
Lineage: Eukaryota; Metazoa; Chordata; Lepidosauria; Squamata; Phrynosomatidae
Description: tRNA-OTHER
Source: RNAcentral
GCCAGUAUGGUGUAGUGGUUUGAGCAUUGGACUAGGACUCUGGAGACCAGGAUUCGAAUCCCAGCUUGGCCA